CCCUUAGAUGUCCUGGGCCGCACGCGCGCUACACUGAACGGAUCAGCGCGUUUUCCCUUCCCGAGAGGGACGGGUAACCUGCUGAACCCCGUUCGUGGUAGGGAUCGGGGCUUGCAAUUAUUCCCCGUGAACCAGGAAUGCCCAGUAAGUGCAAGUCAUAAGCUUGCGUUGAUUACGUCCCUGCCCUUUGUACACACCGCCCGUCGCUACUACCGAUUGAACGUUUUAGUGAGGUACUCGGACUGAGCCUCAGAAGAUUCACGUCUUUUGUGCUGCUCGGGAAGAUUCCCAAACUUGAGCGUUUAGAGAAAGUAAAAGUCGUAACA
This 326-nucleotide ribosomal RNA is filed under the name uncultured eukaryote. RNAcentral describes it as "partial 18S ribosomal RNA". It matches the Rfam family "Eukaryotic small subunit ribosomal RNA", at positions 1470 to 1796 of the family's 1831-position model. The record is from RNAcentral.